UAUUAAUCCAUUUUGCCCAUCACAAACCAAUACUGGCUGGGUUGGAAUGCACAUCUAACGGCAGGAGAGAAGCAUAGCCUCCCUCCGUUCCUCAUGUGACUCCUAAUGCCCUAACGACUAGGAGUCGCUAAUACCAGCAGGAACUCACUUGUACAUGCGGGAGAACAAUGGCCAGCCACACAGGAGGAAAGGCCAUGCUGAACGAGAUGCAUUCUGGUCAUUUCGGAGUGAAGCACACGAUUGCCAAAAUCAACCUACGCUUCUUCUGGCGUGGAAUUGUCAAGGAGGUGGACAGCUGGGGAAGUGAAAUAACCUUUUGUUUAUCAAUCACAUUCUGUUAUAUCUGAAAUUAUUAUAAUUUCAAUGAAUGUCAUAUCAGAGAGCACCCAAAGUUUCAAUUUGUCACUUUGUGCUUAAGCACCAGCUGUCAGAGCAGCUCACAGAUCACUGCACCUGUACAUCUAUAAUUUAGCCCAAACAACUACCUCUUCCCCUACUGUAUUAAUUAAUUUAUUUAUUUAUUUUGCUCCUUUGCACCCUAUUAUUUCUAUUUCUACUUUGCA
RNAcentral lists this long non-coding RNA (563 nucleotides) under Salmo salar (Atlantic salmon). RNAcentral's name for it is "lncRNA (ENSSSAG00000110613.1, ENSSSAG00075011908.1)". Lineage: Eukaryota; Metazoa; Chordata; Actinopteri; Salmoniformes; Salmonidae. The record is from RNAcentral.